RNAcentral lists this ribosomal RNA (1789 nucleotides) under Escherichia coli. RNAcentral describes it as "partial 23S ribosomal RNA". It matches the Rfam family "Bacterial large subunit ribosomal RNA", at positions 419 to 2193 of the family's 2925-position model. The record is from RNAcentral. Lineage: Bacteria; Pseudomonadati; Pseudomonadota; Gammaproteobacteria; Enterobacterales; Enterobacteriaceae.
GGGACACGUGGUAUCCUGUCUGAAUAUGGGGGGACCAUCCUCCAAGGCUAAAUACUCCUGACUGACCGAUAGUGAACCAGUACCGUGAGGGAAAGGCGAAAAGAACCCCGGCGAGGGGAGUGAAAAAGAACCUGAAACCGUGUACGUACAAGCAGUGGGAGCACGCUUAGGCGUGUGACUGCGUACCUUUUGUAUAAUGGGUCAGCGACUUAUAUUCUGUAGCAAGGUUAACCGAAUAGGGGAGCCGAAGGGAAACCGAGUCUUAACUGGGCGUUAAGUUGCAGGGUAUAGACCCGAAACCCGGUGAUCUAGCCAUGGGCAGGUUGAAGGUUGGGUAACACUAACUGGAGGACCGAACCGACUAAUGUUGAAAAAUUAGCGGAUGACUUGUGGCUGGGGGUGAAAGGCCAAUCAAACCGGGAGAUAGCUGGUUCUCCCCGAAAGCUAUUUAGGUAGCGCCUCGUGAAUUCAUCUCCGGGGGUAGAGCACUGUUUCGGCAAGGGGGUCAUCCCGACUUACCAACCCGAUGCAAACUGCGAAUACCGGAGAAUGUUAUCACGGGAGACACACGGCGGGUGCUAACGUCCGUCGUGAAGAGGGAAACAACCCAGACCGCCAGCUAAGGUCCCAAAGUCAUGGUUAAGUGGGAAACGAUGUGGGAAGGCCCAGACAGCCAGGAUGUUGGCUUAGAAGCAGCCAUCAUUUAAAGAAAGCGUAAUAGCUCACUGGUCGAGUCGGCCUGCGCGGAAGAUGUAACGGGGCUAAACCAUGCACCGAAGCUGCGGCAGCGACGCUUAUGCGUUGUUGGGUAGGGGAGCGUUCUGUAAGCCUGUGAAGGUGUGCUGUGAGGCAUGCUGGAGGUAUCAGAAGUGCGAAUGCUGACAUAAGUAACGAUAAAGCGGGUGAAAAGCCCGCUCGCCGGAAGACCAAGGGUUCCUGUCCAACGUUAAUCGGGGCAGGGUGAGUCGACCCCUAAGGCGAGGCCGAAAGGCGUAGUCGAUGGGAAACAGGUUAAUAUUCCUGUACUUGGUGUUACUGCGAAGGGGGGACGGAGAAGGCUAUGUUGGCCGGGCGACGGUUGUCCCGGUUUAAGCGUGUAGGCUGGUUUUCCAGGCAAAUCCGGAAAAUCAAGGCUGAGGCGUGAUGACGAGGCACUACGGUGCUGAAGCAACAAAUGCCCUGCUUCCAGGAAAAGCCUCUAAGCAUCAGGUAACAUCAAAUCGUACCCCAAACCGACACAGGUGGUCAGGUAGAGAAUACCAAGGCGCUUGAGAGAACUCGGGUGAAGGAACUAGGCAAAAUGGUGCCGUAACUUCGGGAGAAGGCACGCUGAUAUGUAGGUGAAGUCCCUCGCGGAUGGAGCUGAAAUCAGUCGAAGAUACCAGCUGGCUGCAACUGUUUAUUAAAAACACAGCACUGUGCAAACACGAAAGUGGACGUAUACGGUGUGACGCCUGCCCGGUGCCGGAAGGUUAAUUGAUGGGGUCAGCGCAAGCGAAGCUCUUGAUCGAAGCCCCGGUAAACGGCGGCCGUAACUAUAACGGUCCUAAGGUAGCGAAAUUCCUUGUCGGGUAAGUUCCGACCUGCACGAAUGGCGUAAUGAUGGCCAGGCUGUCUCCACCCGAGACUCAGUGAAAUUGAACUCGCUGUGAAGAUGCAGUGUACCCGCGGCAAGACGGAAAGACCCCGUGAACCUUUACUAUAGCUUGACACUGAACAUUGAGCCUUGAUGUGUAGGAUAGGUGGGAGGCUUUGAAGUGUGGACGCCAGUCUGCAUGGAGCCGGCCUU